Neolamprologus brichardi is the source of this 1467-nucleotide RNA transcript. It is a transcript of the gene named phosphoribosyl transferase domain containing 1b, with no coding region annotated. The record is from RefSeq and is a predicted model, not a curated record. NCBI's taxonomy places the organism in Eukaryota, Metazoa, Chordata, Actinopteri, Cichliformes, Cichlidae.
CCAUGCUCCUCCUCUCUCCUGUUGGUGCCAACUCCCUCUAUCAACUUUCCUGAGACAAAAGCUCCUUUUGUGGCGGUGGAAAAACAACAUGGCAGAAUUUGCCGUCCAGUCCGAAGGAAGAAGCGAGGGGAUUGUGAUUAAAGAUGACUGGCCAGGCUACAGUUUAGAUCUCUUCAGCUAUCCAGCACACUACUCCGGAGAUUUAGACUGUGUCAUCAUCCCGCAUGGCGUGAUUAUGGACAGAACAGAACGUCUCGCUAGAAACAUCAUGGAUGACCUGGGGAACCACGCCAUUGUGGUCCUGUGCGUGCUGAAAGGAGGUUACCAGUUUUGUGCCGACCUGGUGGACAGGAUCAAGGACCUUAGCCACAACUCCAACCGCACAAUCCCCAUGACGGUACACUUCAUCCGUCUCAAGAGUUACUUGAAUGACGAGUCAACAGAGGAUCUUCACAUCCUCGGAGGAGAGGACUUGUCUUUUUUAGCUGGAAAGAAUGUUCUGGUUGUGGAGGGCAUUGUAGGCACCGGAAAGACGAUGAAGACUCUCCUGAAGCACGUCGAAGCCUUCGGGCCCAAAAUGAUCAAAGUAGCAGGAUUGCUGGUGAAGAGAGUGCCGCAUAGCUCAGCAUGUGUUCCUGACUGUACGUACCUGACCAACCCUUUUAUGGCUCAAUGUCGGCUUUGAGAUACCCAAUCAUUUUGUGGUUGGAUAUGCUUUAGACUACAAUGAGUAUUUUAGAGAUCUCAGUCACAUUUGCGUGAUCAGCGACACCGGGAAGAUGAAAUAUAAGAUUUAAAGAGAGGGCCGGCGAUAGAGGCGACUGUCGAGCAGAUGUCAUCGGACGGCCAGCCCAGACACUUCCUGUGAGAUGCCAUUGACUUACAGCUGCUAUGGUGACAUCUGAUCCCAAUCAUGCCUGCGUUGUUAUAACAUUCCUGGUUCCAAACAUGUUAACGUUUUAACAACACACACUGCAACAUUUAACUGGAGAUUUGAACACAAAAAGCGCAUGCUUGAGGAUAAGUUGGAGCUUUGUUGCUUUGACGCAGGUGAUUCAGGUUUAAAACGUGUAGUGUUAAGUGGAGGGAAUGCUGUUCUAACUCUAUAUCUAAAGCAUCCAAUCAUCCCAGGUGUACUGCUUCUUUUAUGAAAUGUAAAGCAUUCAAUAACCACUGCAUGUGAGGAAUACCAACAAAACCUAAAAUGAAAGGAAGUUGUUGUUUUUUUUAAAUUCGUUCUCCACCUGUGCGAUGCCUUUUUAAAGUUUCAUCUGAUUUUCCGUCACUUUUAACACACAAGGGAGAAACAGUUCAAGUCUUGUCAACACUAAGUGCCAUUACUACCUCCUUUGUGUGUGCGUUUGCAUGUUUUUUCACUUGCUGUACUUUUGUCAUUUCUCUGUAUCAGUUUAUGUUCUAACAUACAAUAAAAUGUUUUUUUUAAGAUUUCUGCAUUCUACUAUUAAU